This 514-nucleotide ribosomal RNA is filed under the name uncultured bacterium. RNAcentral's name for it is "bacterial SSU rRNA". It matches the Rfam family "Bacterial small subunit ribosomal RNA", at positions 8 to 521 of the family's 1533-position model. The record is from RNAcentral.
AGAGUUUGAUCCUGGCUCAGGAUGAACGCUGGCGGCGUGCUUAACACAUGCAAGUCGAGCGAAGCGAUUUAGCGGAAGUUUUCGGAUGGAAGUUAGAUUGACUGAGCGGCGGACGGGUGAGUAACGCGUGGGUAACCUGCCUCAUACAGGGGGAUAACAGUUAGAAAUGACUGCUAAUACCGCAUAAGCGCACGGGAACGCAUGUUUUUGUGUGAAAAGCCGAGACGGUAUGAGAUGGACCCGCGUCUGAUUAGCUAGUUGGUGAGGUAACGGCCCACCAAGGCGACGAUCAGUAGCCGACCUGAGAGGGUGACCGGCCACAUUGGGACUGAGACACGGCCCAAACUCCUACGGGAGGCAGCAGUGGGGAAUAUUGCACAAUGGGGGAAACCCUGAUGCAGCGACGCCGCGUGAGUGAAGAAGUAUUUCGGUAUGUAAAGCUCUAUCAGCAGGGAAGAAGAAAGACGGUACCUGACUAAGAAGCCCCGGCUAACUACGUGCCAGCAGCCGCGGU